RNAcentral lists this ribosomal RNA (631 nucleotides) under uncultured bacterium. RNAcentral describes it as "bacterial SSU rRNA". It matches the Rfam family "Bacterial small subunit ribosomal RNA", at positions 8 to 684 of the family's 1533-position model. The record is from RNAcentral.
AGAGUUUGAUCCUGGCUCAGAAUGAACGCUGGCGGCAUGCCUACCACAUGCAAGUCGAACGAAGGCUUCGGCCUUAGUGGCGCACGGGUGCGUAACGCGUGGGAAUCUGCCCUUGGGUUCGGAAUAACAGUUAGAAAUGACUGCUAAUACCGGAUGAUGUCGUAAGACCAAAGAUUUAUCGCCCAAGGAUGAGCCCGCGUAGGAUUAGCUAGUUGGUGAGGUAAAAGCUCACCAAGGCGACGAUCCUUAGCUGGUCUGAGAGGAUGAUCAGCCACACUGGGACUGAGACACGGCCCAGACUCCUACGGGAGGCAGCAGUGGGGAAUAUUGGACAAUGGGCGAAAGCCUGAUCCAGCAAUGCCGCGUGAGUGAUGAAGGCCUUAGGGUUGUAAAGCUCUUUUACCCGGGAUGAUAAUGACAGUACCGGGAGAAUAAGCCCCGGCUAACUCCGUGCCAGCAGCCGCGGUAAUACGGAGGGGGCUAGCGUUAUUCGGAAUUACUGGGCGUAAAGCGCACGUAGGCGGCUUUGUAAGUUAGAGGUGAAAGCCCAGAUCUCAACUCUGGAAUUGCCUUUAAAACUGCAUCCCUUGAAUCAUGGAGAGGUGAGUGGGAAUUUCCAGUGUAGAGGUGA